AGUGAACGCCGGCGGUAGGCCUAACACAUGCAAGUCGAACGGCAGCACAGUAAGAGCUUGCUCUUACGGGUGGCGAGUGGCGGACGGGUGAGGAAUACAUCGGAAUCUACUUUUUCGUGGGGGAUAACGUAGGGAAACUUACGCUAAUACCGCAUACGACCUACGGGUGAAAGCAGGGGAUCUUCGGACCUUGCGCGAUUGAAUGAGCCGAUGUCGGAUUAGCUAGUUGGCGGGGUAAAGGCCCACCAAGGCGACGAUCCGUAGCUGGUCUGAGAGGAUGAUCAGCCACACUGGAACUGAGACACGGUCCAGACUCCUACGGGAGGCAGCAGUGGGGAAUAUUGGACAAUGGGCGCAAGCCUGAUCCAGCCAUACCGCGUGGGUGAAGAAGGCCUUCGGGUUGUAAAGCCCUUUUGUUGGGAAAGAAAAGCAGCAGCUUAAUACCCCGCUGUUCUGACGGUACCCAAAGAAUAAGCACCGGCUAACUUCGUG
This 492-nucleotide ribosomal RNA is filed under the name uncultured bacterium. Its description in RNAcentral is "partial 16S ribosomal RNA". It matches the Rfam family "Bacterial small subunit ribosomal RNA", at positions 29 to 507 of the family's 1533-position model. The record is from RNAcentral.